RNAcentral lists this ribosomal RNA (495 nucleotides) under uncultured bacterium. RNAcentral's name for it is "partial 16S ribosomal RNA". It matches the Rfam family "Bacterial small subunit ribosomal RNA", at positions 28 to 507 of the family's 1533-position model. The record is from RNAcentral.
GACGAACGCUGGCGGCGUGCCUAAUACAUGCAAGUAGAACGCUGAAGGAGGAGCUUGCUUCUCUGGAUGAGUUGCGAACGGGUGAGUAACGCGUAGGUAACCUGCCUGGUAGCGGGGGAUAACUAUUGGAAACGAUAGCUAAUACCGCAUAAUAUUGACUAUUGCAUGAUAGUCAGUUGAAAGGUGCAACUGCACCACUACCAGAUGGACCUGCGUUGUAUUAGCUAGUUGGUGGGGUAACGGCGCACCAAGGCGACGAUACAUAGCCGACCUGAGAGGGUGAGCGGCCACACUGGGACUGAGGCACGGCCCAGACUCCUACGGGAGGCAGCAGUAGGGAAUCUUCGGCAAUGGACGGAAGUCUGACCGAGCAACGACGCGUGAGUGAAGAAGGUUUUCGGAUCGUAAAGCUCUGUUGUAAGAGAAGAACGAGUGUGAGAGUGGAAAGCUCACACUGUGACGGUAUCUUACCAGAAAGGGACGGCUAACUACGUG